CUAUCCUCUGACCUUCAGCUUUGUAAGUCAUACAUUCAGUAACAGUUAAAGCAAACCACCAGCAAGUAGCAGCAGAUGGGUCGCAAGUUUGAGCAUUUUCUGAUUCGAUUGAUGUAUUUUUUCCAGUUAUACAAAAUGUAUGUGUGUUUCAGGAAAUCAUCAAACAUAAUACUGGCAAAUGUCUUCACUGAAGCUGUUAUACGUCUUGACGAUUUUGAAGUGGGUCUUUCAGUCUUUGAAUAGUGUAACAUUUAAUCAGAGGUGCAGUCUUAGCAACCUGCAGGGUUCCUUGGACACCGGACAGAAAUGGAGCCAGAUUGAGGGGAUGAGCCUUAUAUCAGUUGCUAGGCAAUUAUAUAGUAAUUUAUUGAUCCAAGUAAUCCAACUACAGCUGUUCUAACUAAAUCUAGCAUGGAAGUAUGUGAUGUGUUUGCAACUGAAACUAAUUUAGCAUCUGUAGAACAAAUAGCAUAUUUUUGUGCACUAUUUGUCGAUUGCUGCAUCAAAUCAGAAGGUCUACAUCAUCGAGCCCAAUUUGAAAACAGAUAAAACAAUGUGUAGCAAUCAUAUAUUUUAUUAUAGAAUGGUCAUAAUUAAUAUGUUAGUUUUCUUCCUUUUGCGAAUGGGUGGUCCUAUUGAAUUUUGUUCAUCAUAUAUGGUUAAUUUGUGCAGCUAAAAUGCUGGUGACUCAUGGAAAAUACUAUGCAUGGUGCGGCUGAUCAAAGGCAGAGACAAAGAGUUUGUCCAUCAGUUCUAUGGAAAGACUAUGACCAGUUGGAGCCCAUACUCGAUUGUAGCGAUGAGAUGGAAUUUUUAGGCAAUCAUCCGAGUGUCACCCCUGCUAAUGUGUAUGUGGCAUCAUGUGAUGAGUUGAUGAAUA
Molecule: non-coding RNA, 880 nt
Organism: Lolium perenne
Lineage: Eukaryota; Viridiplantae; Streptophyta; Magnoliopsida; Poales; Poaceae
Source: RefSeq, a predicted model, not a curated record